Molecule: ribosomal RNA, 659 nt
Filed under: uncultured bacterium
Lineage: Bacteria
Description: bacterial SSU rRNA
Rfam family: Bacterial small subunit ribosomal RNA
Source: RNAcentral
AGUGGCGGACGGGUGAGUAACGCGUGAGAAUCUGCCUUGGGGUCGGGGACAACCACUGGAAACGGUGGCUAAUACCGGAUAAGCCGAUUGGUGAAAGAUUUAUUGCCCGAAGAGGAGCUCGCGUCUGAUUAGCUAGUUGGUGAGGUAAGAGCUCACCAAGGCAGCGAUCAGUAGCUGGUCUGAGAGGACGAUCAGCCACACUGGGACUGAGACACGGCCCAGACUCCUACGGGAGGCAGCAGUGGGGAAUUUUCCGCAAUGGGCGAAAGCCUGACGGAGCAAGACCGCGUGAGGGAGGAAGGCUCUUGGGUUGUAAACCUCUUUUCUCAGGGAAGAAGCUCUGACGGUACCUGAGGAAUCAGCCCGGCUAACUCCGUGCCAGCAGCCGCGGUAAUACGGAGGAGGCAAGCGUUAUCCGGAAUUAUUGGGCGUAAAGCGUCCGCAGGUGGCGAUUCAAGUCUGCUGUCAAAGCGCGGGGCUUAACUCCGUAAAGGCAGUGGAAACUGAAUAGCUAGAGUGCCGUAGGGGUAGAGGGAAUUCCCGGUGUAGCGGUGAAAUGCGUAGAGAUCGGGAAGAACAUCGGUGGCGAAAGCGCUCUACUGGACGGCAACUGACACUCAGGGACGAAAGCUAGGGGAGCGAAUGGGAUUAGAUACCCC